This 279-nucleotide ribosomal RNA is filed under the name uncultured Staphylococcus sp. Its description in RNAcentral is "partial 16S ribosomal RNA". It matches the Rfam family "Bacterial small subunit ribosomal RNA", at positions 83 to 355 of the family's 1533-position model. The record is from RNAcentral. Lineage: Bacteria; Bacillati; Bacillota; Bacilli; Caryophanales; Staphylococcaceae.
CCUUUGACGUUAGCGGCGGACGGGUGAGUAACACGUGGGUAACCUACCUAUAAGACUGGGAUAACUUCGGGAAACCGGAGCUAAUACCGGAUAAUAUUUCGAACCGCAUGGUUCGAUAGCGAAAGGUGGUUUUGCUAUCACUUAUAGAUGGACCCGCGCCGUAUUAGCUAGUUGGUAAGGUAACGGCUUACCAAGGCGACGAUACGUAGCCGACCUGAGAGGGUGAUCGGCCACACUGGAACUGAGACACGGUCCAGACUCCUACGGGAGGCAGCAGCC